Long non-coding RNA from Eriocheir sinensis (Chinese mitten crab), 2252 nucleotides. RefSeq lists it as uncharacterized. The record is from RefSeq and is a predicted model, not a curated record. The transcript has 3 exons. Lineage: Eukaryota; Metazoa; Arthropoda; Malacostraca; Decapoda; Varunidae.
UAGAGGAUAAUAUAGAGCAAAAGGAAGGCUGUGUUACCUUUAUUACCAAACUCACCAAUAUUUCUCGUUACACAGCACGAGAUGAGGCUUAGCUCACUAUUAAAAGACACUUUCGAUUCUUACAUCAACCAUUUCUAAAGGCCAAAGAGGGGAUCAAUUGGGUUCUAAUGAGUGUCUUCUUGGGUUCAUGUUACAGAAGAAGUGGCAAACUACCCCCAGGCUCAUAAAACUAUUCCUUUAAAUGCCCAAAACUCCUUUGAAAGCCUUGGCAAAUGUGUGAACUCGGGCGACGAAAUGUUUUGAAAUACAACCCAUGGGCAAGGAUUCCAACUUCCUCAAGGUGUUCAGGAAUGGGUAGGACUACUGGGCAGAGGGAAAUGGAGCAGCUUGGGAGAACUUGAAUGGGUAUAGAACAGGGGGAGAUCAACCACUGCAGUGACAGAACAAGGCCAUCAGAGUGGAGAGGUUGGGUCCAUAUUCUCAAGCACUUCAGGGCUCACACACCUGCACUUGACAAGGCUUUGGUGGAGGUUGUGUUAGUAUGUCCAUGGGUAGUGUUGUGAGCCUGGUGAUAGUUUGACAAGGCUUUGGUGGAGGUUGUGUUAGUAUGUUCAUGGGUAGUGUUGUGAGCCUGGUGAUAGUUUGACAAGGCUUUGGUGGAGGUUGUGUUAGUAUGUCCAUGGGUAGUGUUGUGAGCCUAGUGAUAGUUUGACAAGGCUUUGGUGGAGGUUGUGUUAGUAUGUCCAUGGGUAGUGUUGUGAGCCUGGUGAUAGUUUGACAAGGCUUUGGUGGAGGUUGUGUUAGUAUGUCCAUGGGUAGUGUUGUGAGCCUGGUGAUAGUUUGACAAGGCUUUGGUGGAGGUUGUGUUAGUAUGUCCAUGGGUAGUGUUGUGAGCCUAGUGAUAGUUUGACAAGGCUUUGGUGGAGGUUGUGUUAGUAUGUCCAUGGGUAGUGUUGUGAGCCUGGUGAUAGUUUGACAAGGCUUUGGUAGAGGUUGUGUUAGUAUGUCCAUGGGUAGUGUUGUGAGCCUGGUGAUAGUUUGACAAGGCUUUGGUGGAGGUUGUGUUAGUAUGUCCAUGGGUAGUGUUGUGAGCCUAGUGAUAGUUUGACAAGGCUUUGGUGGAGGUUGUGUUAGUAUGUCCAUGGGUAGUGUUGUGAGCCUAGUGAUAGUUUGACAAGGCUUUGGUGGAGGUUGUGUUAGUAUGUCCAUGGGUAGUGUUGUGAGCCUGGUGAUAGUUUGGCAAGGCUUUGGUGGAGGUUGUGUUGUUAUGUCCAUGGGUAGUGUUGUGAGCCUGGUGAUAGUUUGACAAGGCUUUGGUGGAGGUUGUGUUAGUAUGUCCAUGGGUAGUGUUGUGAGCCUAGUGAUAGUUUGACAAGGCUUUGGUGGAGGUUGUGUUAGUAUGUCCAUGGGUAGUGUUAUGAGCCUGGUGAUAGUUUGACAAGGCUUUGGUGGAGGUUGUGUUAGUAUGUCCAUGGGUAGUGUUGUGAGCCUAGUGAUAGUUUGACAAGGCUUUGGUGGAGGUUGUGUUAGUAUGUCCAUGGGUAGUGUUGUGAGCCUGGUGAUAGUUUGACAAGGCUUUGGUGGAGGUUGUGUUAGUAUGUCCAUGGGUAGUGUUGUGAGCCUGGUGAUAGUUUGACAAGGCUUUGGUGGAGGUUGUGUUAGUAUGUCCAUGGGUAGUGUUGUGAGCCUAGUGAUAGUUUGACAAGGCUUUGGUGGAGGUUGUGUUAGUAUGUUCAUGGGUAGUGUUGUGAGCCUAGUGAUAGUUUGACAAGGCUUUGGUGGAGGUUGUGUUAGUAUGUCCAUGGGUAGUGUUAUGAGCCUGGUGAUAGUUUGACAAGGCUUUGGUGGAGGUUGUGUUAGUAUGUCCAUGGGUAGUGUUGUGAGCCUAGUGAUAGUUUGACAAGGCUUUGGUGGAGGUUGUGUUAGUAUGUCCAUGGGUAGUGUUGUGAGCCUGGUGAUAGUUUGACAAGGCUUUAGGUAGAUUCAUGAGCCUAAUGACAGUUCAACAAGGCUUCUGCACUAUGAACAUGAACAGAACUCAUGAGAACCCAACCCAGCUAAUCUUCUCUGUAGAAAUAGUUCUUGUUGUUGUGGGAACCCAAAGCGUCCAAGGAUACCGAGCGUGCUUAGGUCUCCUCCGUGGAGCUGAUCUGGCUGUCCUCCACCUGCCGCGCCGAGGGGAAAUACACCUUGAAGGAGAACUCGCUGCUGAAGAAGGAGCCCUGUGGAAGGAAGACGAGAGGUAGAUGACG